This 275-nucleotide long non-coding RNA is filed under the name Pan troglodytes (chimpanzee). Its description in RNAcentral is "long non-coding RNA NONPTRT008447". The record is from RNAcentral. Lineage: Eukaryota; Metazoa; Chordata; Mammalia; Primates; Hominidae.
CAAGUUAGCCAACCGGGUUUAGCCAACUGGAUUGUGCCGUCCAACUCCAGCCAAUGGAGACAGGACACAGUAAGAAGGACAAGCUACUUAGAGACAGCCCUGAAGAUGAGUUUUCACCCCUGAGAACAGAAUGACAGAAGGCCAAGAUGUGGUUGAAAUGGCUGGUGAGAGACAUCGGGUGAGGAAAGGCCAGGCUCACCAAGCAUUCAGACACACCUGUGCAACUGUCCUUGCAAUUAGGAGCCAGGCCCCAGUGAGCUUCUCACCACAUGUGU